UACGGAGGGUGCAAGCGUUAAUCGGAAUUACUGGGCGUAAAGCGCACGCAGGCGGUCAAUUAAGUUGGAUGUGAAAUCCCCGGGCUCAACCUGGGAACAGCAUUCAAGACUGGUUGGCUAGAGUCGUGUAGAGGGGGGUAGAAUUCCAUGUGUAGCGGUGAAAUGCGUAGAGAUAUGGAGGAAUACCGGUGGCGAAGGCGGCCCCCUGGACACAGACUGACGCUCAGGUGCGAAAGCGUGGGGAGCAAACAGG
This 253-nucleotide ribosomal RNA is filed under the name uncultured bacterium. RNAcentral's name for it is "partial 16S ribosomal RNA". It matches the Rfam family "Bacterial small subunit ribosomal RNA", at positions 524 to 776 of the family's 1533-position model. The record is from RNAcentral.